GACGAACGCUGGCGGCGUGCUUAACACAUGCAAGUCGAACGGAAAGGCCCUGCUUGCAGGGUACUCGAGUGGCGAACGGGUGAGUAACACGUGGGUGAUCUGCCCUGCACUUCGGGAUAAGCCUGGGAAACUGGGUCUAAUACCGGAUAGGAGCCAUUUUUAGUGUGAUGGUUGGAAAGUUUUUUCGGUGUAGGAUGAGCUCGCGGCCUAUCAGCUUGUUGGUGGGGUAAUGGCCUACCAAGGCGGCGACGGGUAGCCGGCCUGAGAGGGUGGACGGCCACAUUGGGACUGAGAGACGGCCCAGACUCCUACGGGAGGCAGCAGGGGGGAAUAUUGCACAAGGGGCGCAAGCCUGAUGCAGCGACGCCGCGGGGGGGAUGACGGCCUUCGGGUUGUAAACUCCUUUCGCUAGGGACGAAGCUUUUUGUGACGGUACCUAGAGAAGAAGCACCGGCUAACUACGUG
This 465-nucleotide ribosomal RNA is filed under the name uncultured bacterium. Its description in RNAcentral is "partial 16S ribosomal RNA". It matches the Rfam family "Bacterial small subunit ribosomal RNA", at positions 28 to 507 of the family's 1533-position model. The record is from RNAcentral.